Molecule: ribosomal RNA, 460 nt
Filed under: uncultured bacterium
Lineage: Bacteria
Description: partial 16S ribosomal RNA
Rfam family: Bacterial small subunit ribosomal RNA
Source: RNAcentral
CCUACGGGUGGCAGCAGUGAGGAAUAUUGGUCAAUGGACGAGAGUCUGAACCAGCCAAGUAGCGUGAAGGAUGACUGCCCUAUGGGUUGUAAACUUCUUUUAUAUGGGAAUAAAACGUUCCACGUGUGGGAUUUUGUAUGUACCAUAUGAAUAAGGAUAGGCUAACUCCGUUCCAGCAGCCGCGGUAAUACGGAGGAUCCGAGCGUUAUCCGGAAUUAUUGGGUUUAAAGGGAACGUAGGUGGAUUGUUAAGUCAGUUGUGAAAGUUUGCGGGUCAACCGUAAAAUUGCAGUUGAAACUGGCAGUCUUGAGUACAGUAGAGGUGGGCGGAAUUCGUGGUGUAGCGGUGAAAUGCUUAGAUAUCACGAAGAACUCCGAUUGCGAAGGCAGUUCACUGGACUGCAACUGACACUGAGGCUCGAAAGUGUGGGUAUCAAACAGGAUUAGAUACCCGUGUAGUC